RNAcentral lists this transfer RNA (25 nucleotides) under Sturnella magna. RNAcentral's name for it is "partial tRNA-Met". Lineage: Eukaryota; Metazoa; Chordata; Aves; Passeriformes; Icteridae. The record is from RNAcentral.
GAUCGUUCAACUCCUUCCCCUGCUA